UCCCUGGUGGCUAAGAUGGUAAAGAAUCUGCCUGCAAUGCGGGAGACCCAGGUUCAAUCCCUGAGUUGGGAA
This 72-nucleotide transfer RNA is filed under the name Bos taurus (domestic cattle). It matches the Rfam family "tRNA". From Rfam's summary of the family: Transfer RNA (tRNA) molecules are approximately 80 nucleotides in length. Their secondary structure includes four short double-helical elements and three loops (D, anti-codon, and T loops). Lineage: Eukaryota; Metazoa; Chordata; Mammalia; Artiodactyla; Bovidae. The record is from Rfam by way of RNAcentral. RNAcentral also lists the same sequence under 1 other name.